Molecule: non-coding RNA, 416 nt
Organism: Plutella xylostella (diamondback moth)
Lineage: Eukaryota; Metazoa; Arthropoda; Insecta; Lepidoptera; Plutellidae
Source: RefSeq, a predicted model, not a curated record
GGUUCGUUUGGUUGUCGUAAGAAUAAUAACAAUAAAAAGUACGGUUUUAAAACUUAUUUUAAUUAGUUGAUAGGAAGUUUGUUCCUAGAAACUCAGUCGGGAUCCGUACUCUCGUUCAAAAUAAGUUCCACAAACAAGAAACAAUAUGGAGGAAGACAUAGACAUAGAGGAUCACAAUCUGUUGGACAACUUGGCCCUUAGGAGUGUGUUUCCAGAUCUAAGCAUUCUCAAACAAGAAAUCAUAGAUUUUGGAAUUGGAGAAGAUAUCAAGACAAAGACAGAAGUUCUAAAGGGGACCAGAAAUGAAAACGAACCGGUCAUUGCUAUGCUAAACUGCGGGAAUGAUCUUCUGUUACCAUCCACACAAGACCUAGAUGUUAAACCGGCUAUUCUAAGCACUAACAUAGAUGAUAAAC